UCAGCAUGGAGCAAUGCGAUAAUCAUUGUGCAGCGUGUCUGCAUGCUCUGCGUGUGAACCGCCAGACCCUCGUGAGCUAAGCCCAUUCUCAGACACAGUUGGCUCCUAGAGAAGGGAUAAUUUAUAAUCAUGACAUUUCCAAGGGUUUCUCUCCUUUUUCUCCCCCUUCCCCCUCCCAGUGCUUGCCUUCAUCCCAACUGGUGAAUAUGGGACAGACCAUCCCAGCUUUUCUAGGGAGAGGCUGGUUUUCUUGUUUCUUUGCAGACUGCUGUCUCAUCCUGAAACUGCAUAUUUGAUGUGCUUUUAUAAUGAAUUCAUUUGCACUGUGACAGAUGUUUCUGAUACGAUAAGAAACGUGGCCCAGGGGCCAGUGGCACUGUAGAGCCUCUCAUGUUCCUCACCUGAAUUGCAAAUGAGAUAUUGCUUUCUUAUCUGUUAAAAAACAUAAGCAACUGCACAUAUAAAUAAUACGCCACCAACUGCCAGCUGUUUGUGCCAAUGACAUUCUUCUUAAAAGAAUAGCUCCCCCCAUCAUCUGUUCUUUUCCUUCUUGCAGAAAAUCUGGAGCUCUUUUGCAAGUGUAACAGAAGAGAUCUUUUUUCUCUUUAAGCUGCAGAGCAGUUACUUUAAAAUAAUUAUGUAUGAGCAAAACCAGCUUCCAUAUUUAUGACACAAGUAGUACCUGAUUAUUUCUCUUUUUUUGUACUUCCUUGUCCUUUUUCUGCAUAUCUCUCUGGACACAAAAGAGAAAAUGUCAGUGCUGCUUUCUGUUUCUUGGUGGAUCCUUUUUACAGAGCUCACUGUCUGUCAGUGGUUUCAUGGUUUCAGUUCUGAAUGGUUGAAGGUAAAACCACCUCUGGAAUCCCAGACACAGAAGCAAGCAGGCCUGCUCACUCAGUAACAUUUACUACUAAGUCUUGCAAUCAACAGAACUUAGAAAUACUACCAGGCGUAAGCUGGUUACAGGCUGACAUUGGAAACAAGUUCUCUGGCUGAAGCGUUAUCUUCCCUGCUACAACAGGGUGGGGGCCAUGGGGAGGAGGGAGAAGAAGAAAAGUACCUGUUUAUAAUGGGUUAUCGACCUCAUGUUAUCUCUUCUGCAGUAAAAUCUUAACAGGACAAAGCAUGGUAGUAUUAUUAAGGGCAU
Long non-coding RNA from Harpia harpyja (harpy eagle), 1147 nucleotides. RefSeq lists it as uncharacterized. The record is from RefSeq and is a predicted model, not a curated record. NCBI's taxonomy places the organism in Eukaryota, Metazoa, Chordata, Aves, Accipitriformes, Accipitridae. The transcript is spliced from 3 exons.